This 497-nucleotide ribosomal RNA is filed under the name uncultured bacterium. Its description in RNAcentral is "partial 16S ribosomal RNA". It matches the Rfam family "Bacterial small subunit ribosomal RNA", at positions 28 to 507 of the family's 1533-position model. The record is from RNAcentral.
GAUGAACGCUGGCGGCGUGCCUAAUACAUGCAAGUCGAGCGAACAGACGAGGAGCUUGCUCCUUUGACGUUAGCGGCGGACGGGUGAGUAACACGUGGAUAACCUACCUAUAAGACUGGGAUAACUUCGGGAAACCGGAGCUAAUACCGGAUAACAUGUUGAACCGCAUGGUUCAACAGUGAAAGACGGUCUUGCUGUCACUUAUAGAUGGAUCCGCGCCGCAUUAGCUAGUUGGUAAGGUAACGGCUUACCAAGGCAACGAUGCGUAGCCGACCUGAGAGGGUGAUCGGCCACACUGGAACUGAGACACGGUCCAGACUCCUACGGGAGGCAGCAGUAGGGAAACUUCCGCAAUGGGCGAAAGCCUGACGGAGCAACGCCGCGUGAGUGAAGAGGGUCUUCGGAUCGUAAAACUCUGUUAUUAGGGAAGAACAAAUGUGUAAGUAACUAUGCACGUCUUGACGGUACCUAAUCAGAAAGCCACGGCUAACUACGUG